GUCCACGCCGUAAACGAUGGAUACUAGCUGUUGGGGCAACUUCAGUGGCUAAGCGAAAGUGAUAAGUAUCCCACCUGGGGAGUACGUUCGCAAGAAUGAAACUCAAAGGAAUUGACGGGGCCCGCACAAGCGGUGGAGCAUGUGGUUUAAUUCGAUGAUACGCGAGGAACCUUACCAGUUCUUGACAUCCUACAAACUUUUCUGGAGACAGAUUGGUGCCCUUUUCGGGGGAAUGUAGUGACAGGUGGUGCAUGGCUGUCGU
This 262-nucleotide ribosomal RNA is filed under the name uncultured bacterium. Its description in RNAcentral is "partial 16S ribosomal RNA". It matches the Rfam family "Bacterial small subunit ribosomal RNA", at positions 793 to 1055 of the family's 1533-position model. The record is from RNAcentral.